GUCUACAGCCAUGCCACCCUAAACAAGCCCAAUCCCAUCUGAUCUCGGAAGCUAAGAGGGUCGGGCCUGGUUAGUACUUGGAUGAAAGACCACCUAGGAAGACCAGAUACUGUAGACG
This 118-nucleotide ribosomal RNA is filed under the name Pteropus alecto (black flying fox). The record is from RNAcentral. Lineage: Eukaryota; Metazoa; Chordata; Mammalia; Chiroptera; Pteropodidae.